CUUUUCUUGUUUUGGAUAGGAAAUAUGGCCUGCCCACUGAAUGUUUUAAAGGGCCGCGGUAAUUUGACCGUGCAAAGGUAGCAUAAUCAUUAGUUUUUUAAUUGGAGGCUGGAAUGAAUGGUUGGACGAGAUAUAGACUGUCUUAAUUUAAAUUAUUGAAAUUAAUUAUUAGGUAAAAAAGCCUAAAUGGAUUUAUGGGACGAGAAGACCCUAUAGAAUUUAAUAGACUAAUAUUGUUUAUUAUGUAUGUUGAUUAUAUUAUAAUUUUGUUUAUUUUGUUGGGGUGAUGAGAAGAUAAAUUGAACUCUUUUAUUUGUGGUUGUAUUGAUGUAUAUAUAGUGGAUCCAUUUAUUAGUGAUUUAAAGAUUAAAUUACCUUAGGGAUAACAGCGUAAUUUUUUUUGAGAGUUCAUAUCGACAGAGAAGAUUGCGA
Molecule: ribosomal RNA, 432 nt
Filed under: Hemithyrsocera simulans
Lineage: Eukaryota; Metazoa; Arthropoda; Insecta; Blattodea; Blattellidae
Description: partial 16S ribosomal RNA
Rfam family: Archaeal large subunit ribosomal RNA
Source: RNAcentral